GGGACAUCGCUGGCCGCCAGCACUCAGGCCACUUGGGGGUCUGAGUAGCUUUACUGAGGAGUCUUCCUGGGAUACUGUGCUAUCUCCAUCAUCACUUGUAUGCCUCAGUGACCAUCUUGGAUGUCCUUGUGAAUGGCUCGCUGGUUGCAACUCAGUCUUGCCAGGACAGACUCCAACUCCCUGUGACCCUGAACUGCAUAAGCAGAUCAGAAAAUUGAUGAAUAGAUUGAAGAAUCAUUUAAACACACGAUAAAGUGCCUCAACAGAAACAGAGAUCAUAAGCUACAAAGAAGAAAGCAUUUUAACAGGUAUCCUGUAUUGGCCCCCUGUGCCAAUGUCACCAGACCAAAGUUCUCUUCAGUUGUCUCCGAUGUUAAAAAGGAUGACUAAGAUGACACCUGCUGCUUCAAACAUUCUGGGAUGUUACGGCGUAUCGCGAUAUUAAUGAACGAGUCAGCCGCAUGUAUGAUCUGUUGGAUGGCUGGUCAGCCUUUUGACCAAGGAACCCUUUGAAGUUUAUUUCUCUAUCAUCUGUGUCGCUGGACUUUUUGUUUUUCUCUGACCCCUAGCCAUCUGACCACAGGAUAAAGUUUCAAAAUUGACAUUACAGAUUGUUUCUUUUUUAUCUUCCUAUGGUAAUUAAAGCACUCUGAGUUACAUUUCUCAAAAAUUGUUUUAUACUAAAACUUACACAAUAACUUGCACUUAUACAAUAACUAGCUGUGUAAAUUUCCUUACACAAUAGGCCUUGGUUACAGUUCUGCUGGUUAAUUUGAUAAAAUUAAGAGUGAAAGGGAAGGUCUACAGGACGGUAGUGAGACCAGCUAUGUUAUAUGGGUUGGAGA
Molecule: long non-coding RNA, 845 nt
Organism: Polypterus senegalus (gray bichir)
Lineage: Eukaryota; Metazoa; Chordata; Cladistia; Polypteriformes; Polypteridae
Exons: 4
Source: RefSeq, a predicted model, not a curated record